This 756-nucleotide ribosomal RNA is filed under the name uncultured archaeon. RNAcentral's name for it is "bacterial SSU rRNA". It matches the Rfam family "Archaeal small subunit ribosomal RNA", at positions 102 to 856 of the family's 1478-position model. The record is from RNAcentral.
GGAUAACCUGCCCUUGGGUCCGGCAUAACCCCGGGAAACUGGGGAUAAUUCCGGAUAACGCACAUAUGCUGGAAUGCUUUAUGCGUAAAAUGGAUUCGUCUGCCCAAGGAUGGGUCUGCGGCCUAUCAGGUAGUAGUGGGUGUAAUGUACCUACUAGCCAACAACGGGUACGGGUUGUGAGAGCAAGAGCCCGGAGAUGGAUUCUGAGACAUGAAUCCAGGCCCUACGGGGCGCAGCAGGCGCGAAAACUUUACAAUGCGGGAAACCGUGAUAAGGGGACACCGAGUGCCAACAUCAUAUGCUGGCUGUCCGGGUGUGUAAAAUACACCCGUUAGCAAGGGCCGGGCAAGACCGGUGCCAGCCGCCGCGGUAACACCGGCGGCCCGAGUGGUGAUCGUGAUUAUUGGGUCUAAAGGGUCCGUAGCCGGUUUGGUCAGUCCUCCGGGAAAUCUGACGGCUUAACCGUUAGGCUUUCGGGGGAUACUGCCAGGCUUGGAACCGGGAGAGGUAAGAGGUACUACAGGGGUAGGAGUGAAAUUUUGUAAUCCCUGUGAGACCACCUGUGGCGAAGGCGUUUUACCAGAACGGGUUUGACGGUGAGGGACGAAAGCUGGGGGCACGAACCGGAUUAGAUACCCGGGUAGUCCCAGCCGUAAACGAUGCUCGCUAGGUGUCAGGCAUGGCGCGACCGUGUCUGGUGCCGCAGGGAAGCCGUGAAGCGAGCCACCUGGGAAGUACGGCCGCAAGGCUGAAACU